AGAUCAUGACCUGAGCCGAAGUCGGACGCUCAACUGACUGAGCCCCCCAGGCACCCCAAGAAUUCUCUUUUAAACUGUGCUUUCCAUUCAGCUCUUGAGAAAGCAGGGAUAGCUUCUUCCUUCUCAUGUGGUUCUCCCAUGUAGAUAACAUCAUCUAUGAUCCAUAAGGACUGAACCUAUUUCCUGAGUUGUCCAAAAUGGAAGCAGUGGUCAAGGAUUCAUUGAGCAACGUCAACACGGCCCUGAUGAUGACACUUUAAAGCCUCUGAGAAUAACUUCCCUUUAAUUACUUUUCCAGUCCUGCAAGGCACAAAGCCAAACAAAGAAAUCACAGGGCUGCAUUUAGUCCUCAAACCACCCAAUUGCCACCUGCUCGAAUACAGUCUCCCAUUUGAUGCUUGGAUUCUGCCACAGCAUCCCUGGGAAGUGAUGGCUCCAUUCUCCAGAAGACCAAAGGGGUGGCGGUCAAUAAGAGAAGCCACCCAGCUCUUCCCUUGCCCAUCACACUGACUGGCGAGCUUACAGGUCAACCCCUUCACUCAUAUCUGAUGUCAUCGCCUUCGGCUAAGAGGACCCUAAGUUAAGGAAACCUGUGCGGACGUUCCCCAUUGUCCACAUAUGACCAUGCAGUGGAGCACGCUUUGCCAGGUGACCAUGGAGGUGAGAAGUUAAAGUUUGCCGGCAGUGGAACAGAUGCUGUUAAAUCUCAAGUGCAUUUUCAGCCUCCUCCUAUGCUGAAAUGUGUUUAUUUCAAUUGGUCUGGCUUGCAAAUUUCCAAUAGGCAACAAGGAACGGGCCGGCUUCAAUCUCUAUCAAACUUUGGAGCAUAGGGAUAUCUUCUUUCCCACAAUCUAUGUUGCUUUUGUUGAAGAGCUUCUCAUUCCCUGUCCUAAGUAAACAGUCACGUGUUGUCCAUUAAAUGCGGAACAGAGCUUCCUCACUGAGUGUCACAUUCUUGGCUGGACUUGCAAAGCAUCCAGAUGUAAUUUGAAAGACGUAAUUCAAAAAUCAUGGAGAACAAAAGUUCUGCUAAAAUCUGACAAGAUUGGAAUUCCA
This 1056-nucleotide long non-coding RNA is filed under the name Felis catus (domestic cat). RNAcentral describes it as "lncRNA (ENSFCAG00000040969.2)". The record is from RNAcentral. Lineage: Eukaryota; Metazoa; Chordata; Mammalia; Carnivora; Felidae.